Molecule: ribosomal RNA, 485 nt
Filed under: uncultured soil bacterium
Lineage: Bacteria
Description: bacterial SSU rRNA
Rfam family: Bacterial small subunit ribosomal RNA
Source: RNAcentral
AGAGUUUGAUCCUGGCUCAGGAUGAACGCUAGCGGCAGGCUUAACACAUGCAAGUCGAGGGGUAUAGGUUUUCGGACCUAGAGACCGGCGCACGGGUGCGUAACGCGUAUGCAAUCUACCUUUUACAGAGGGAUAGCCCAGAGAAAUUUGGAUUAAUACCUCAUAGUAUAGUACAACCGCAUGGUUGAACUAUUAAAGUCACAACGGUAAAAGAUGAGCAUGCGUCCCAUUAGCUUGUUGGUAAGGUAACGGCUUACCAAGGCAACGAUGGGUAGGGGUCCUGAGAGGGAGAUCCCCCACACUGGUACUGAGACACGGACCAGACUCCUACGGGAGGCAGCAGUGAGGAAUAUUGGUCAAUGGGCGCAAGCCUGAACCAGCCAUGCCGCGUGCAGGAUGACGGUCCUAUGGAUUGUAAACUGCUUUUGUACAGGAAGAAACAUCUCUACGUGUAGAGACUGACGGUACUUAAGAAUAAGUUCGUC